GUUAAAUUUCAAAAAGUUAGUCAUAAACAAGGUCCGGACUACCUGAGGGAGACUAUAGGGCUUGCCGGACCAUUUGGAAAUGAAGAGUUAAAAUAAAAACUUCAUAAAAACUGUAAAAGAACAGCAGAUAAGGGGACAGGACAGAGCUGGCCUGAGAUGUGCCCGGCCAAGCCUAAAAACAAGGUCAAGGGAUUGUUCCAGGAAGGGGGGGCCAUCCGGACGGAUGACUCCCUGCUCUAUAGAUAAAGAUAAGACGUUCUCCUAUAUUGAGAACACCCCAGCCCGCAUGUACUGCUUGCAGAUGAGACCUUGUACCCAUUUCCCUUGCUGAUAACCACGCGAAACCCCCUGGCUUCUCCUAUAUAAACCCCUGCCUGAAGAGGCUCGGAGUCAAUUCCUCUGUCUCCUGUGUGAGAUACGUGUCGACCCGGGAUCCUGCUAAGACCCGGGAACUCGUUAAUAAAGCUACCUCCUGCUGUUACAUCAAGACCGGCUACUCGUGAUUCCUGGGGGCACCCCAUCACACGAUUAGAGUGAGAGACGCGGCUCCCCGUUUAGGGGUACGCUCUUUCAUAUGGGGGCUUGUCCGGGAUCGGAGCGUGACCCCCAGGAACCCCGAAUGCCACUUGGAGAAAGUGCACAGGGGGACGCCCCAAUCGUGCAAGUUCUGGGACGUGUGAAAGACGUUCCGCAAGCCGAACUUUGUCGGGAGGACCCAGCAACUGGCCGUCAAAGAGAUUUGUGUUUGAAAUCUUGGACUGACAAUUGUGUUUGAACCGUUUGCUUUGCUCAUCGAAGAGUUUUACUUGGUCCCCUUAAUGCUUAGUGAGUAAGGAACUUAAUUUUGCGGACCCCACUCUAGUGGCAGUGUGUUGGUUGAUAGCCAACGUUAUUUUUUUUAAAACAUAGUGUUUUAUCUGUGCUUGUGCUCACAGCCCACACAAUAGGGGAAAGGGAAACUAGCUGCGGAGCUGCUGCAGCGAGCAUGGGGACUUCUCAAGUCUCACCCAAUUUUUCUGGCUCUUCAAGAGCUGUUUAAAAGAAAAAGGCUUAAGGUAAAAAGAAACACUAUAGAGAGAUUUCUUAGUGAAUUGCUACAUCUUGGUUCGCUGUCUCUGGAAAUCUCACGGUAGACAGCUGUGAUAAACUGGGAAAGAUUUAAAUUUUGCUUGGUAGCAAAGAACCUUAAAGGGACAGGCUACAUUAAAAAUGCUACAGGAGGAACUAUCUGAAAAGGCUGAGAGCGAGGUGGGAGAGGACUCUAAAAAAAACAAAAACAAGAAAGGAAUUUCUGACAUUUGCUCACAGAAGGAGAGCACUCUUUAAGAGAAGUUCUUUAAGGAAGCCUGCCUUAUCUGCUGGCCCUAUUCCAAGAGAGGAGUCAGUCUCCAGCAUUAAAUUACUUUUCUCGUUAGUCAUCAUUAACAUGGAGAGUGCCUUUGAUCCUAUUCCCACAGCAGCCAGUUCCUGCCCCUGUGGUCAAAUGCCCCAGGUUGGGGGACAGAGGAGCCCCUAAAAUAGUUUCAAAGAAUCUACAACAAACUGUAAAGAAUUUUGUUUUGUUUUGCCAGUCAAGAUUUAGAAUUCAGGUUUUGGCGGUGGCCAAGGUCAGGAUUAAUGUUUUCUUUUCCAUGGGCCUUUAACCCAGUGAGACAGUUUGGUAAAGGGCUACUACUGAGGUCCUGAUAGCCCCAGGUGAACUGGUUACGAUUCUUUUGUCAGUCACCUGGCAUCUAGCACUCAGGUUCUAACCAUCUCUCCAUCCUUUUGUUAUUAGUUGUUACUAGAAGCCUAGUGUCAUUUGGAGGCUGGUUCCCCUGAAAGGCAAAGCCACCAAGCGGACACUGAAGAGAGACACUCCUUGAGAGAAAAUCUAAGUCUAGAGAGAUAGUUGAUAAUAGAUUGGCUGCCUCUCUGCUCGCCUUUCUGGUUCAUAGACAAAGCUUGUGCUUAUUUGUAUAAUGGCCUUUUUGUUCAAGAAGGCCUCCUGGUUUAGCUGUGUGACUAAAUGCUGUUUGCACUCUUCAGUAUACCUCUAUUCUCAAGAUUCUCUUGUUUUCUCACCAUCCCAUUUGAGAUGCUUGUUAGUAACUAUUACAGGUCUUCUUUACCACUGAGGAAAGACAGAAUUCUACUGGAGGCCAGAAAGAAUGUUCCAGACACGGAUGGAAGGACCUCACUUCUGCCUGUUGACUUCAAUACGCCUAAAGGUAGGGAGUGCCAGGUCUGCCGCCAGGCUCCAAGAGUGGGUCUCAGAGGGGCUAGAAAAUGCCCCACUAAUUUGGCUAAGAUAAAGAAAGAAUAUAAAGAAAAAGUUACAGAAACUUGAAGGGUUAAGGUAAGUUGCUGAGAGUUAGUGUAAGUUACAAAAAAGUAAAAUUAAAAUGUGGUUAAGUAGACAACAUCUAAUAGCUGUAAAAGAAGAUACAGAAGAUAUGAGAGAGACUGUAGAAGAGAAAGAAAAAAAGAUAAAAAGAACAAGAAGCUAGAGAAAAAAAGAGACAAAAAGAGGAUGUUAAAGAGCUAAAGAGAGAUAAGAGACAAGAGAGAAACAUAUACCGGCCACAGUAGUUAGGGAACCUAGGAAGAUAGUACCUGGCAACAGAAGAGAAUACCUGGCUGAAGAUCAAUGUGCCUAAUACAAAGAAAAAGGACACUGGGUCAGGGACUGCCCAAGAAAGAACAAGAGGGGCCACUAGAGAGCUUCUUGGUCCUAGAGUGCUGGCUAUGUACAGAGAUAGAAGAGAAGUGUGGAUACAGGGACCCAAUGUUCUGUGCUCCUAUGCCCCCCCAGUGGGCCAAUAUCCAAAGACCUUGAGUAUAAGGGGCUACUGACAACAAACAACUUAUGGACUGCCUGAAGAACAGUGGACCUUGGCGUGGGCUGGGUAACCCACUUGUUCAUGGUCAUCCCUGACUGCCCCUAUCCCUUGCUCCUGAGAAAUUUGCUCUCCAAAAUGGCUUGCAUGGACUGAAAUGGCUAGGUGAGGCCAUGUAUAUGCAUAUCUACAGACUGUGAAUGUAGAGCUUAAGACCUGUCUCAGUGCACCAGUACCUGAUGCUGAGAGAUGUGUGACUUAGUCCUGUUCUUCCUGGAACACAUCACUCCUGCCAGCCAGGCACUAACAAUUAUCACCCAAUCCAGGACUUAAACUGUGAUAGAGUGGCUGAUGUUUUGCCUUUGAAUAAAACGUCCCAAAAAUGGGACCACUGGUCAGCUGCCAUGGACUAGGUUCUCCACUGGUUGGGGACAAUCUGGUCACCUUGCUGCUCAAUCCUGACCUGGAGCCACUGCAACA
Molecule: non-coding RNA, 3299 nt
Organism: Rattus norvegicus (Norway rat)
Lineage: Eukaryota; Metazoa; Chordata; Mammalia; Rodentia; Muridae
Source: RefSeq, a predicted model, not a curated record